This 2912-nucleotide ribosomal RNA is filed under the name Pseudomonas aeruginosa. Its description in RNAcentral is "23S ribosomal RNA". It matches the Rfam family "Bacterial large subunit ribosomal RNA". The record is from RNAcentral. Lineage: Bacteria; Pseudomonadati; Pseudomonadota; Gammaproteobacteria; Pseudomonadales; Pseudomonadaceae.
GUUAUAUGGUCAAGUGAAGAAGCGCAUACGGUGGAUGCCUUGGCAGUCAGAGGCGAUGAAAGACGUGGUAGCCUGCGAAAAGCUUCGGGGAGUCGGCAAACAGACUUUGAUCCGGAGAUCUCUGAAUGGGGGAACCCACCUAGGAUAACCUAGGUAUCUUGUACUGAAUCCAUAGGUGCAAGAGGCGAACCAGGGGAACUGAAACAUCUAAGUACCCUGAGGAAAAGAAAUCAACCGAGAUUCCCUUAGUAGUGGCGAGCGAACGGGGAUUAGCCCUUAAGCUUAAUUGAUUUUAGCGGAACGCUCUGGAAAGUGCGGCCAUAGUGGGUGAUAGCCCCGUACGCGAAAGGAUCUUUGAAGUGAAAUCGAGUAGGACGGAGCACGAGAAACUUUGUCUGAACAUGGGGGGACCAUCCUCCAAGGCUAAAUACUACUGACUGACCGAUAGUGAACCAGUACCGUGAGGGAAAGGCGAAAAGAACCCCGGAGAGGGGAGUGAAAUAGAACCUGAAACCGUAUGCGUACAAGCAGUGGGAGCCUACUUGUUAGGUGACUGCGUACCUUUUGUAUAAUGGGUCAGCGACUUAUAUUCAGUGGCAAGCUUAACCGUAUAGGGUAGGCGUAGCGAAAGCGAGUCUUAAUAGGGCGUUUAGUCGCUGGGUAUAGACCCGAAACCGGGCGAUCUAUCCAUGAGCAGGUUGAAGGUUAGGUAACACUGACUGGAGGACCGAACCCACUCCCGUUGAAAAGGUAGGGGAUGACUUGUGGAUCGGAGUGAAAGGCUAAUCAAGCUCGGAGAUAGCUGGUUCUCCUCGAAAGCUAUUUAGGUAGCGCCUCAUGUAUCACUCUGGGGGGUAGAGCACUGUUUCGGCUAGGGGGUCAUCCCGACUUACCAAACCGAUGCAAACUCCGAAUACCCAGAAGUGCCGAGCAUGGGAGACACACGGCGGGUGCUAACGUCCGUCGUGAAAAGGGAAACAACCCAGACCGCCAGCUAAGGUCCCAAAGUUGUGGUUAAGUGGUAAACGAUGUGGGAAGGCUUAGACAGCUAGGAGGUUGGCUUAGAAGCAGCCACCCUUUAAAGAAAGCGUAAUAGCUCACUAGUCGAGUCGGCCUGCGCGGAAGAUGUAACGGGGCUCAAACCACACACCGAAGCUGCGGGUGUCACGUAAGUGACGCGGUAGAGGAGCGUUCUGUAAGCCUGUGAAGGUGAGUUGAGAAGCUUGCUGGAGGUAUCAGAAGUGCGAAUGCUGACAUGAGUAACGACAAUGGGUGUGAAAAACACCCACGCCGAAAGACCAAGGGUUCCUGCGCAACGUUAAUCGACGCAGGGUUAGUCGGUUCCUAAGGCGAGGCUGAAAAGCGUAGUCGAUGGGAAACAGGUUAAUAUUCCUGUACUUCUGGUUACUGCGAUGGAGGGACGGAGAAGGCUAGGCCAGCUUGGCGUUGGUUGUCCAAGUUUAAGGUGGUAGGCUGAAAUCUUAGGUAAAUCCGGGGUUUCAAGGCCGAGAGCUGAUGACGAGUCGUCUUUUAGAUGACGAAGUGGUUGAUGCCAUGCUUCCAAGAAAAGCUUCUAAGCUUCAGGUAACCAGGAACCGUACCCCAAACCGACACAGGUGGUCGGGUAGAGAAUACCAAGGCGCUUGAGAGAACUCGGGUGAAGGAACUAGGCAAAAUGGCACCGUAACUUCGGGAGAAGGUGCGCCGGCUAGGGUGAAGGAUUUACUCCGUAAGCUCUGGCUGGUCGAAGAUACCAGGCCGCUGCGACUGUUUAUUAAAAACACAGCACUCUGCAAACACGAAAGUGGACGUAUAGGGUGUGACGCCUGCCCGGUGCCGGAAGGUUAAUUGAUGGGGUUAGCGCAAGCGAAGCUCUUGAUCGAAGCCCCGGUAAACGGCGGCCGUAACUAUAACGGUCCUAAGGUAGCGAAAUUCCUUGUCGGGUAAGUUCCGACCUGCACGAAUGGCGUAACGAUGGCGGCGCUGUCUCCACCCGAGACUCAGUGAAAUUGAAAUCGCUGUGAAGAUGCAGUGUAUCCGCGGCUAGACGGAAAGACCCCGUGAACCUUUACUGUAGCUUUGCACUGGACUUUGAGCCUGCUUGUGUAGGAUAGGUGGGAGGCUUUGAAGCGUGGACGCCAGUUCGCGUGGAGCCAUCCUUGAAAUACCACCCUGGCAUGCUUGAGGUUCUAACUCUGGUCCGUAAUCCGGAUCGAGGACAGUGUAUGGUGGGCAGUUUGACUGGGGCGGUCUCCUCCUAAAGAGUAACGGAGGAGUACGAAGGUGCGCUCAGACCGGUCGGAAAUCGGUCGCAGAGUAUAAAGGCAAAAGCGCGCUUGACUGCGAGACAGACACGUCGAGCAGGUACGAAAGUAGGUCUUAGUGAUCCGGUGGUUCUGUAUGGAAGGGCCAUCGCUCAACGGAUAAAAGGUACUCCGGGGAUAACAGGCUGAUACCGCCCAAGAGUUCAUAUCGACGGCGGUGUUUGGCACCUCGAUGUCGGCUCAUCACAUCCUGGGGCUGAAGCCGGUCCCAAGGGUAUGGCUGUUCGCCAUUUAAAGUGGUACGCGAGCUGGGUUUAGAACGUCGUGAGACAGUUCGGUCCCUAUCUGCCGUGGACGUUUGAGAUUUGAGAGGGGCUGCUCCUAGUACGAGAGGACCGGAGUGGACGAACCUCUGGUGUUCCGGUUGUCACGCCAGUGGCAUUGCCGGGUAGCUAUGUUCGGAAAAGAUAACCGCUGAAAGCAUCUAAGCGGGAAACUUGCCUCAAGAUGAGAUCUCACUGGGAACUUGAUUCCCCUGAAGGGCCGUCGAAGACUACGACGUUGAUAGGCUGGGUGUGUAAGCGUUGUGAGGCGUUGAGCUAACCAGUACUAAUUGCCCGUGAGGCUUGACCAUAUAACACCCAAACA